ACGCGUAUGAAAGACAAGCUGAAAGACUUUUCUCAAUGACGUAAGUGGUGGUGCAUGGUCGUUCUUAGUUCGUGGAUUGAUUUGUCUGGUUUAUUCCGAUAACGAGCGAGACCCCAACGUUCCUAAUAGGAGCACCAGCCCGGCUCGACCGCUCCGGCGGACUUGCUAGCAGGUGUCUCUCUAGCUUCUUAGACGUAUCAGAGCCGAUAAGGUUCUUGAAAUGGGUUAAUAACAGGUCAGUCAUGCCCUUAGAUGUUCUGGGCCGCACGCGCGUUACAAUGGUAGCCAUCAGAAAGUGCCUGCAAAGGGUGUCUCCGUGGCCGAAAGGCUGCGGUAACCCAUAGUCGCUCCCUUGACUGGGCCAGACUAUUGCAAUUAUUGGUCUCAAACGAGGAAUUUUUAGUAUACGCAGGUCAUUAACCUGCGCGGA
This 430-nucleotide ribosomal RNA is filed under the name Didymium comatum. RNAcentral's name for it is "SSU rRNA". It matches the Rfam family "Eukaryotic small subunit ribosomal RNA", at positions 1230 to 1644 of the family's 1831-position model. Lineage: Eukaryota; Evosea; Eumycetozoa; Physariida; Didymiaceae. The record is from RNAcentral.